Long non-coding RNA from Rattus norvegicus (Norway rat), 775 nucleotides. RefSeq lists it as uncharacterized. The record is from RefSeq and is a predicted model, not a curated record. NCBI's taxonomy places the organism in Eukaryota, Metazoa, Chordata, Mammalia, Rodentia, Muridae.
CAGAACAUCAGAGGAGCAACUUUCUCAUACGUGUAUAAACUGUGUCUGCUGGCUUAGUGCUAGUCAAUUUAUAAAGAAAAUUAGUUUAUAAUCUUCAUGAGGAGAAACUAACUGGGGAGGGGUGGGGCAGGCAUGACUGCCCUUGUCAGGCUGAGGCACUUGGGCUGUGUCCACGCCCACUUCUGGAGAGAGCCAUGUCAGUAGAUAACAUGCCUUCAAUCGUAAAUAGCAAGUUACUCUAUACGGGGUAUCUUUGCCCCCACUCCCUUCUCUGUUAUCAUGGUUAAUUGUGUCAACUUGACUGCAUUGAGGGGACCCCAAGAAACUAGUGAAGCAUACCCUUGGCUCUGCCUGUGAGGGCUUUUCCAGUGACAACGAGAUCACAAAGCCUGACCUAAUGAAUGGAUGGUUUCAUCGAUUGAUGGGUUCAAGCUUUGAGUGAACUACUGGAGAAGAAAGUGUCUCCUCUGUGCUUGACCCUGCUCAUCCCCAGUGACCCUGUCCCCUAUUCUGGAGGAAAUGAGUGCGUCACAGAUAAGCCAAGAAGAAUCUCGACAGACAAGUCUUGCUGAGUUCCCCAUGCAGUCAGUUAGCAACCACGGCUUCUCACCGGAGUCCACGUAAGAACCCAAAAGGACUGCAGCCUCUGGAGAGUUGGCAGAGAGACAGACUUGUGGGUCUUCCUACAGAGGGUGCGGACUCCACACACCCUUUCUCAUACUUUACUGUGACUGUCCUUUCAUCUGUAUCCUUUGUAAUAAAGCAGCAGAUGUGA